CUUUGUCAUAGUAGAUGCUCAUGUCCACAUCCCAGUCAUCUGCAGUCUGCUCAUCAAAGUCUCCGUUCUCCUCCCGCCAGUACUGAGCAUCUGUGUAGAAGACAAGGCCUGAGCCCCCUUUCUCCCACUUCAGCUCAAUCUCCUCCUCAAACAGCCGCUCCUCCACACGAUCCUGCUUGGUCACAUCCUCAUGCAGAGCCUCGUGUCGCUCCCAUUCCUCACAGGUAUCAUUGUCGUCAUCCGAGUGCGACUCCUCUUCCUCCUUUUCCUGCCCCACCUCAUCUUCCUCAGCACCGGCUGGAUCAGCCACCUCAGUUCUUGCCACGGGCCCCUCAUCCUCU
This 341-nucleotide long non-coding RNA is filed under the name Gallus gallus (chicken). Lineage: Eukaryota; Metazoa; Chordata; Aves; Galliformes; Phasianidae. The record is from RNAcentral.